AUACGUAGGGGGCGAGCGUUGUCCGGAAUGAUUGGGCGUAAAGGGCGCGUAGGCGGCCCGGUAAGUCUGGAGUGAAAGUCCUGUUUUUAAGAUGGGAAUUGCUUUGGAUACUGUCGGGCUUGAGUGCAGGAGAGGUAAGUGGAAUUCCCAGUGUAGCGGUGAAAUGCGUAGAGAUUGGGAGGAACACCAGUGGCGAAGGCGACUUACUGGACUGUAACUGACGCUGAGGCGCGAAAGUGUGGGGAGCAAACAGGAUUAGAUACCCUGGUAGUCCACGCGGUAAACGAUGAAUGCUAGGUGUUGCGGGUAUCGACCCCUGCAGUGCCGGAGUAAACACAAUAAGCAUUCCGCCUGGGGAGUACGGCCGCAAGGUUGAAACUCAAAGGAAUUGACGGGG
This 397-nucleotide ribosomal RNA is filed under the name uncultured bacterium. RNAcentral describes it as "partial 16S ribosomal RNA". It matches the Rfam family "Bacterial small subunit ribosomal RNA", at positions 523 to 918 of the family's 1533-position model. The record is from RNAcentral.